This 253-nucleotide ribosomal RNA is filed under the name uncultured bacterium. RNAcentral's name for it is "partial 16S ribosomal RNA". It matches the Rfam family "Bacterial small subunit ribosomal RNA", at positions 524 to 776 of the family's 1533-position model. The record is from RNAcentral.
GACAGAGGGUGCAAGCGUUGUUCGGAAUCACUGGGCGUAAAGGGCGUGUAGGCGGUGAGGUGUGUCUGGUGUGAAAUCCCCCGGCUUAACUGGGGAAUGGCAUUGGAAACUACCUUACUUGAGUGCGAGAGAGGGUGGCGGAAUUCCUAGUGUAGAGGUGAAAUUCGUAGAUACUAGGAGGAACACCUGAGGCGAAGGCGGCCACCUGGCUCGUAACUGACGCUGAGACGCGACAGCGUGGGGAGCAAACAGG